CCCCCCCAGCCCAGUGCACAAGAAGGGUCCCUCCUCCCCCCUCCCGUCCCCUCCAGGCCAAAGGGAGCUCUCCACCCCCCCAGAGGGGAGGGGGUAGCAGAAGGGGCUCCCCAGCUCCCUCCGUUCAGGACGCCCGGACGGCCUCGGGUGGGGGGGGGAAGCAGGGCUCACCGCGUCGUCCCGAAAGCGGGUCAAGAAGCACAUACUAGAAAUAUAAACCGGGUAUUUGACAAAAGGAAUUUUGAGAAUAGCCCCUCCUUGGCCAGCCCCCGCCCCACAGAGGGAGGCCGGAGGAGCCCUCGUCCCCAGCGGUCCCCCCUUCCCAAGUCGCCAAGACCGCCGUCGGGCUGGGUCCUUGCAGCGCCCCAGCCGCACCAAGACCAGCCCCUCCGCCGGCAGCACCGCCCCACAGCCGAGAACCCGGCUGCCCCCCCGCCGCCAGGGUUCCUUGUGCCAAGAAUCGCCUGCCUUAACGUCUGGGGAGGGGUCGCAGCGGAGACGCCGGCGCCCACAGGCGGGCAGCCUCCCCCAGCCCGCCCCAGCCUGGCGGGGGCAAGCUCAGACAUGCGGGUACGUUGCAGACGCCUCCUCCCCGGCGCCCCUGUCAGUUCACUUUACCUUUAGGCACCUUGAGGACACGCAGGGAGGGACAGACCCGCCCCCCAAAACCGAAACAACGAAACCAAAAACCCCAUCCGGAUUCCACGACGGGAAACCACGCAGAGCGAGCGCGGGAGCCCACCCCGAGCCCCAGCGUGCUGCGGCCCUGGCCUUGCCACCUGCGUGGAACCUUCUGGAACUCGCCCACCACCUGCCGGCGCUCAGGGCUGCCGCGCUGGGCCUGAAGGGGAGGCAGGGGCGAGCCUGCGCCUACGACUCUCUCUCCAAAGGGAUAAGGAAGAUGCUGAAGAAGGUGACCUCCAAGGCUGGCCGGCAGCUGGAUCCUGAGAACCCUCCUCCCCACGGUUCGAGAUCUGGAGGCUUGAAGGAACCUCACCCCCCAAAACCCCGCGCACCCACUGCCUCCCAGGGAGGUAGUCAGCCCCUCCCCCCUGGAGAAUGCAAAGACGUUUCUAGUGAAAUGCCCCUCCCCCUCCCCCAGGUAAAGGCUACCUCACUCAAACGUUCUUGUCUGUGAUUGGACAAAUCACGCCUGAUACCAAAGAUUUCCCCCAAGGACCUGUGCUGGAUGCUGGAAUUCCCUCGCCUGGGCCCCGUCCUCCAGGUGCGCCCCGCUCCCCAGCAACGAGAGAGAGAGAGAGAGAGAGAGAGAGAGAGAGAGAGAGAGAGAGGAGGAAGGGGUGGGAGGGAGAGAGAGAGAAGAAGACAGACAGGGAAAGAGGGAGAGAGAGAGACAGGGAGAGAGAGAGACAGGGACAGAGGAAGAGAGAGAGAGGGAGAAGUGAAGGAGAGGGAGGCAGAGAGGAUACUGAGGUCGAUGAGUGCCUUUUUCUGGAACCAAAGAUGUGUGUGAAAUGUUCUCUUGUCCUUAUCGACUCGCUAUUCUCCCAGCUUUUUAAGCAACCAAUCUGAGUGAUGCUUCUAGAACCUUUGGGUGUUGGGGCAGAAUCCUAACAGUCCCUGUUCCCACUCAGCAACCAACCCCUCCCCCCAAACACACACACACACACACACACACACACACACACACACACACACGCAGGCUGCUGUCCUUUCAGUGGUGGCCCUGGGCGCUGGAGUCUGGGUGGCCGGACCCCUUCCUUCCGCCUCCUACUGUCACCUGGCCCCCCUGGACAGGGCGCCUGCUUGCAGGGGACAGGGCUUCUCAGAUACCCUGUGCUGGGUAAGUUACUUGCUCUUCCCAGCAUUUAAGGUCCAAGGGGCAGAGGCCAGAGGUCUCUGUUCUGUCCCCUGCUGGAUAGCUAGGAGUUGGCUUGGGACCUUUCUGGCUGUGGAACUUUCUAGCUAUGGUGACCUGUGGUCAGAUCGGGUCACAGAAGCAUCCCUGGAUUCCGGGGUCCCUUUCAAACACACCCCCCCACACACACACUCCAGCUCCAGUCCAGCCCCUCCAGGGGCGCUGCCUCCCUCCCCGACCCCCCACGGCCCCACCCCACUCUCCCCAACAUCCAGCUGGUUGUCACAUACCAAAGACCAUUCUCCGCGCAGGGAAUGAGACCUCCAGCACAGCUCCUUCGAGCCUUUGACAAUUUUCUCUGAAAUACCUCAAAAUAUUUAAUGUAUAGUUUAUGUGAUAAAAAAAAAAAAACCUUAGCUAGUUUUUGGAAUACGUGACUUGAAGCUUUAUACCGUUAAAUUAUAAUUUUGCAGACGAUGGUAUGUCAUUUCUUUGAAGAGUUCCGUGGGAGACGUAUUGAAUGUCAGGGCAGUGAGAGCCGGGCGGUCAGAGGCCAAGGGCAAGGCAGGGGAGCGGGAGGCGGAGGGCGCGGGACCGGCGUUUACAGAUUUCUUAAACUCAAACGAGUCUUUAGGAAAGACAGGAAGAGAGAGUGGACCUUUCUGUUCUCUGGCGUGUUCUGUUCCUCGUUGUUUGGAGUCGUGUCUUCUAAGAGUAUUUAUUAUCCUAUGUGUUCUGUGUUCAAAUGUAAUUUAAGAAAAAAAGUAAGAAAAAUCAAAAAAAAAAAGACAAUGGAAUUUGAUUUGAUGCAUG
This 2632-nucleotide long non-coding RNA is filed under the name Ailuropoda melanoleuca (giant panda). RNAcentral's name for it is "lncRNA (ENSAMEG00000029602.1)". Lineage: Eukaryota; Metazoa; Chordata; Mammalia; Carnivora; Ursidae. The record is from RNAcentral.